UACGGAGGGUGCAAGCGUUAUCCGGAUUCACUGGGUUUAAAGGGUGCGUAGGUGGGCAAGUAAGUCAGUGGUGAAAUCUCCGGGCUUAACCCGUAAGCUGCCAUUGAUACUAUUUGUCUUGAAUACUGUGGAGGUCAGCGGAAUAUGUCAUGUAGCGGUGAAAUGCUUAGAUAUGUCACAGAACACCGAUUGCGAAGGCAGCUCACUAAAGUGUAACUGACGCUGAGGCACGAAAGCGUGGGGAUCAAACAGG
This 253-nucleotide ribosomal RNA is filed under the name uncultured bacterium. Its description in RNAcentral is "partial 16S ribosomal RNA". It matches the Rfam family "Bacterial small subunit ribosomal RNA", at positions 524 to 776 of the family's 1533-position model. The record is from RNAcentral.